RNAcentral lists this ribosomal RNA (381 nucleotides) under uncultured eukaryote. RNAcentral describes it as "partial 18S ribosomal RNA". It matches the Rfam family "Eukaryotic small subunit ribosomal RNA", at positions 592 to 976 of the family's 1831-position model. The record is from RNAcentral.
CAAUAGCGUAUAUUAAAGUUGUUGCGGUAAAAAAGCUCGUAGUUGGAUUUCUACCGAAGAUAGCCGGUCGGAUCUUCGACCUUGUAUCUGGUUUUGUCUUUGGUAUCCUCAUAGGGAACGUUUCUGCGCUUUAUUGCGUGGUGCGGUAUCUAUGACUUUUACUUUGAGGAAAUUAGAGUGUUCACGGCAGGCAAACGCCUUGAAUAUAUUAGCAUGGAAUAAUAACAUAGGAUCUUCGUCCUAUUUUGUUGGUUUCUAGGGCUAAGAUAAUGAUUAAUAGGGAUAAUUGGGGGCAUCUGUAUCAACGCGUCAGAGGUGGAAUUCUUGGAUUGCGUUGCGACAAACUACUGCGAAAGCAUUUGCCAAGGAUGUUUUCAUUGA